RNAcentral lists this ribosomal RNA (253 nucleotides) under uncultured bacterium. RNAcentral describes it as "partial 16S ribosomal RNA". It matches the Rfam family "Bacterial small subunit ribosomal RNA", at positions 524 to 776 of the family's 1533-position model. The record is from RNAcentral.
UACAGAGGUCUCAAGCGUUGUUCGGAUUCAUUGGGCGUAAAGGGUGCGUAGGUGGCGCUGUAAGUCAGGUGUGAAAUUUCGGAGCUUAACUCCGAAACUGCAUUUGAUACUGCGGUGCUCGAGGACUGGAGAGGAGACUGGAAUUUACGGUGUAGCAGUGAAAUGCGUAGAGAUCGUAAGGAAGACCAGCGGCGAAGGCGGGUCUCUGGACAGUUCCUGACACUGAGGCACGAAGGCCAGGGGAGCAAACGGG